ACUCAAAUGAAUUGACGGGGGCCCGCACAAGCGGUGGAACAUGUGGUUUAAUUCGAUACUACGCGAGGAACCUUACCUGGGUUUGACAUGUACUUGACAGCUGUAGAAACACAGUCUUCCGGGCUUCGGUUCGGACAGGUACACAGGUGCUGCAUGGCUGUCGUCAGCUCGUGUCGUGAGAUGUUGGGUUAAGUCCUCUAACGAGCGCAACCCUUGCCUUCAGUUGCCACUACGUAAGUAGGGCACUCUGAAGGGACUGCCUGGGAAACCAGGAGGAAGGUGGGGAUGACGUCAAGUCCUCAUGGCCCUUAUACCCAGGGCGACACACGUGUUACAAUGGCCAGUACAAAGAGCUGCUAACCUGCAAAGGCAUGCUAAUCUCAAAAAACUGGUCUAAGUUCAGAUUGGGGUCUGCAACUCGACCCCAUGAAGCUGAAAUCGCUAGUAAUCGCGCAUCAGCAACGGCGCGGUGAAUACGUUCUCGGGCCUUGUACACACCGCCCGU
Molecule: ribosomal RNA, 505 nt
Filed under: uncultured bacterium
Lineage: Bacteria
Description: partial 16S ribosomal RNA
Rfam family: Bacterial small subunit ribosomal RNA
Source: RNAcentral